AAACAAGGAAGUACAGCAGCCAAUAGGGUGGGAGCGACGUCGUGACGUCAGCAACGACAGCCCGACGUGUUAUUUCUGCAACGUACAAAACGUCUUGUACAGACGCAAGGUUUCUAAUCAACGUUAACAGUGCUGGGUGUAUUGUCUUUGGAUAGAAAGUGUUUCUAUGGCAAGAGGUUCUGGCCCGGAUGGAUCGUAGUCUCCUACCUGAGGGGAGUGUCUCAAACAGAAUGUGUUCAGGAUUUCAGAUCUCCUGGAAGUGUACAGGUCCUGAAGGGAUGGCAGGUGGCAGCCGAUCACCUUCUCACCUUUGUCCUUGACAGUGGCAGCAGCUUACCAGGCAGGGAUAGAGGAGGUCAUUGUGUAUGGCUUGGUUCUCGGGGUUGGUUUCCAUUUUAACUCCUGUGGUGAUUCCCAAAGCUCCAAGCACAGCUUUUCCGGUUUUCAUUCCUCUGGACAUCGGAAUACGACUGAAACCUGAUCGUGCUGAU
Molecule: long non-coding RNA, 491 nt
Organism: Puntigrus tetrazona (Sumatra barb)
Lineage: Eukaryota; Metazoa; Chordata; Actinopteri; Cypriniformes; Cyprinidae
Exons: 3
Source: RefSeq, a predicted model, not a curated record